Volvox carteri f. nagariensis is the source of this 99-nucleotide transfer RNA. It matches the Rfam family "tRNA". Rfam says of the family: Transfer RNA (tRNA) molecules are approximately 80 nucleotides in length. Their secondary structure includes four short double-helical elements and three loops (D, anti-codon, and T loops). Further hydrogen bonds mediate the characteristic L-shaped molecular structure. tRNAs have two regions of fundamental functional importance: the anti-codon, which is responsible for specific mRNA codon recognition, and the 3' end, to which the tRNAs corresponding amino acid is attached (by aminoacyl-tRNA synthetases). tRNAs cope with the degeneracy of the genetic code in two manners: having more than one tRNA (with a specific anti-codon) for a particular amino acid; and 'wobble' base-pairing, i.e. permitting non-standard base-pairing at the 3rd anti-codon position. The record is from Rfam. Lineage: Eukaryota; Viridiplantae; Chlorophyta; Chlorophyceae; Chlamydomonadales; Volvocaceae.
GAGGUCGUAGCUCAAAUGGUAGAGCGCCCGCUUAGCAUGCGAUGCUGAGCGCCGCAGAUGAUGUGCGGGAGGUAGGGGGAUCGAUGCCCUCCGACUCCA